This 465-nucleotide ribosomal RNA is filed under the name uncultured bacterium. RNAcentral's name for it is "bacterial SSU rRNA". It matches the Rfam family "Bacterial small subunit ribosomal RNA", at positions 917 to 1382 of the family's 1533-position model. The record is from RNAcentral.
GGGCCCGCACAAGCGGAGGAACAUGUGGUUUAAUUCGAUGAUACGCGAGGAACCUUACCUGGGCUAGAACGCUCCUGGAAUCAGGCCGAAAGGUUUGAGCCGGCAACGGCCGGGAGCGAGGUGCUGCAUGGUUGUCGUCAGCUCGUGCCGUGAGGUGUCGGGUUAAGUCCCAUAACGAGCGCAACCCCUACCGUCAGUUGCCAGCGGGUCAAGCCGGGCACUCUGGCGGAACUGCCGGCGUAAGCCGCGAGGAAGGCGGGGAUGACGUCAAAUCAGCACGGCCCUUACGUCCAGGGCUACACACGUGUUACAAUGGCCGGUACAGAGGGCAGCCACCCCGCGAGGGGGCGCGAAUCCCGAAAGCCGGUCUCAGUUCGGAUCGGAGUCUGGAACCCGACUCCGUGAAGCUGGAUUCGCUAGUAAUCGCGCAUCAGCCAUGGCGCGGUGAAUACGUUCCCGGGCCUU